AGAACGAACGCUGGCGGCAUGCCUAACACAUGCAAGUCGAACGAGACCUUCGGGUCUAGUGGCGCACGGGUGCGUAACGCGUGGGAAUCUGCCCUUGGGUUCGGAAUAACAGCGAGAAAUUGCUGCUAAUACCGGAUGAUGACGUAAGUCCAAAGAUUUAUCGCCCAAGGAUGAGCCCGCGUAGGAUUAGCUUGUUGGUGAGGUAAGAGCUCACCAAGGCGACGAUCCUUAGCUGGUCUGAGAGGAUGAUCAGCCACACUGGGACUGAGACACGGCCCAGACUCCGUACGGGACGGCGAGCGAGGUGGGAAUAGUUAGGACAAGUGGGACGAAAGCCGUGAUCCAGCAAGUCGCGCGUGAGUGAGUGAACGGUCCCGUAGGGUUAGUAAACGUCCGUUACGUUUUAACCCCGGAUUAG
This 418-nucleotide ribosomal RNA is filed under the name uncultured soil bacterium. Its description in RNAcentral is "bacterial SSU rRNA". It matches the Rfam family "Bacterial small subunit ribosomal RNA", at positions 26 to 460 of the family's 1533-position model. The record is from RNAcentral.